GCUGCCACGUUGUUCUUGGAUAAGUUCAACAUCAGAAUCGCUUCAAGGGGGUUUUCUGUAUGAACUUUAAUUUCACUCAUGUUGUUCUUGAUAUUUAUAUAUUAUGUAAUCAUGUUGUGUAAUUAAGUUCAUAGCUGAGGAUUUCAAUGUAGCCUUGCAAAACUACUCUAUGUUAUUAAGUUAAAGUAUUCGAUUCAUGAAUCUAUUUUCUUGUUUCAUUC
This 221-nucleotide long non-coding RNA is filed under the name Malus domestica (apple). RNAcentral's name for it is "long non-coding RNA (MDOM_LNC019851)". Lineage: Eukaryota; Viridiplantae; Streptophyta; Magnoliopsida; Rosales; Rosaceae. The record is from RNAcentral.